AAGUGAGGUAUGAAAUAUCAGGGCUCAACUCUGAAGGUGUAUCUCAAACUACUAAACUUGAGUAUGGUAGAGGCAAGUGGAAUUCCAGGUGUAGGAGUGAAAUCCGUAGAUAUCUGGAGGAACACCAAUGGCGAAGGCAGCUUGCUGGGCCAUCACUGACACUGAGGCACGAAAGCGUGGGAGCGAACCGGAUUAGAUACCCGGGUAGUCCACGCCGUAAACGAUGGAUACUA
This 233-nucleotide ribosomal RNA is filed under the name uncultured Candidatus Saccharibacteria bacterium. Its description in RNAcentral is "partial 16S ribosomal RNA". It matches the Rfam family "Bacterial small subunit ribosomal RNA", at positions 585 to 818 of the family's 1533-position model. The record is from RNAcentral. Lineage: Bacteria; Candidatus Saccharimonadota.